Molecule: ribosomal RNA, 800 nt
Filed under: Alteromonas sp.
Lineage: Bacteria; Pseudomonadati; Pseudomonadota; Gammaproteobacteria; Alteromonadales; Alteromonadaceae
Description: bacterial SSU rRNA
Rfam family: Bacterial small subunit ribosomal RNA
Source: RNAcentral
CGGUAACAUUUCUAGCUUGCUAGAAGAUGACGAGUGGCGGACGGGUGAGUAAUGCUUGGGAACUUGCCUUUGCGAGGGGGAUAACAGUUGGAAACGACUGCUAAUACCGCAUAAUGUCUUCGGACCAAACGGGGCUUCGGCUCCGGCGCAAAGAGAGGCCCAAGUGAGAUUAGCUAGUUGGUAAGGUAACGGCUUACCAAGGCGACGAUCUCUAGCUGUUCUGAGAGGAAGAUCAGCCACACUGGGACUGAGACACGGCCCAGACUCCUACGGGAGGCAGCAGUGGGGAAUAUUGCACAAUGGGGGAAACCCUGAUGCAGCCAUGCCGCGUGUGUGAAGAAGGCCUUCGGGUUGUAAAGCACUUUCAGUUGUGAGGAAAAGUUAGUAGUUAAUACCUGCUAGCCGUGACGUUAACAACAGAAGAAGCACCGGCUAACUCCGUGCCAGCAGCCGCGGUAAUACGGAGGGUGCGAGCGUUAAUCGGAAUUACUGGGCGUAAAGCGCACGCAGGCGGUUUGUUAAGCUAGAUGUGAAAGCCCCGGGCUCAACCUGGGAUGGUCAUUUAGAACUGGCAGACUAGAGUCUUGGAGAGGGGAGUGGAAUUCCAGGUGUAGCGGUGAAAUGCGUAGAUAUCUGGAGGAACAUCAGUGGCGAAGGCGACUCCCUGGCCAAAGACUGACGCUCAUGUGCGAAAGUGUGGGUAGCGAACAGGAUUAGAUACCCUGGUAGUCCACACCGUAAACGCUGUCUACUAGCUGUGUGUGCCUUUAAGGCGUGCGUAGCGAAGCUAACGCGCUAAG